This 464-nucleotide ribosomal RNA is filed under the name uncultured bacterium. Its description in RNAcentral is "partial 16S ribosomal RNA". It matches the Rfam family "Bacterial small subunit ribosomal RNA", at positions 338 to 795 of the family's 1533-position model. The record is from RNAcentral.
CCUACGGGAGGCAGCAGUAGGGAAUUUUCGUCAAUGGGCGCAAGCCUGAACGAGCAAUGCCGCGUGAACGAGGAAGGUCUUCGGAUCGUAAAGUUCUGUUGAAGGGGAAAAAGAGCGGAGAGAGGAAAUGCUUUCUGAUUGAUAUUACCCUUCGAGGAAGUCACGGCUAACUACGUGCAAGCAGCCGCGGCAAUACGUAGGUGGCGAGCGUUAUCCGGAAUGAUUGGGCGUAAAGGGUGCGUAGGCGGCCUGCUAAGUCUGGAGUAAAAGGUACGGGCUCAACCGGUACAGGCUCUGGAAACUGGCGUGCUAGAGAGCAGGAGAGGGCGGUGGAACUCCAUGUGUAGCGGUAAAAUGCGUAGAUAUAUGGAAGAACACCAGUGGCGAAGGCGGCCGCCUGGCCUGUUACUGACGCUGAGGCACGAAAGCGUGGGGAGCAAAUAGGAUUAGAUACCCUGGUAGUC